This is a long non-coding RNA of Oreochromis aureus, 1549 nucleotides long. Lineage: Eukaryota; Metazoa; Chordata; Actinopteri; Cichliformes; Cichlidae. The record is from Ensembl.
ACCAAAUGCUGCAGCAGCUGGACCCAUAACAACAAUCUAAAAAUGUCAACAGUGCUACAGGAAAGCGAUCUCAUGCAGCAGAGAUGGAGAGCGUUAAAUCCAAGGCCCGUUUCACUACACGGGGGAGAUUUCCAGACAGCUUCAGCUGACAGACCUGUGACGAGACGCCCAUUAAGCCCGAAUGAAAAGUAAGGCCGAGCAAAAGAAUGCUGACCUUGAUAACUUUGCAUUUAACACUGUGCAGGACAGUGAUGGACCAACACGGAUGAUCGGGCAGCAGAAGAAAGGGCGUGCCAGAGACAGGAGGAGCAACUGAGGUCAAAAGGCACCUCAGAAUGGACAAAACACAGAAGAAGAAAGGACUGCCCCAAUUGGGGCCAAAACCAGGACAGACUGAACUUUGAGCAGCAGCAGCAGCAGCAAUGGUCGCAACCGGACUGAAAAGGAGGAGGGCAGGACCCCAGGGCACGCUUCAGGCCGUGGUUUACCCAAAACACCAGAACAGGAAAGUGAUAAACACGCAAACAUACACAUCUACACACACUGACUCAAAAUGAAGAGAAACACACACCUGAACAGACGUGCACUUGUUGAUUGAGUGAGAAAUGACACACACACACACAUCAGACAAUGUACACUCAUCAAACAUGACUGAUGCCCUGAACGCCUUGAGACAGAUCCAGCAGGCCCAAAAUCAGGCCUAUGUAAAUAAUACAAGUGACUGCUAAAAAGACUACUACUGCCUUUUCACUGUGCAAUACUUUUUGUUAAAAACCAACGGUGCAAUAGACUUCAAUACUUGAAAUACUUGAAAUACUUGAAAUACUUGCAGUUCCUUUGUAUUCUUAUUCUUAUUUAUUCUAUUUAUCCCUUUUUGUAUUUUUACUUUUAUUUUGUGUUUUUGUAACAUGUAUCCUGCCAUGUCUAAAACUCAUGAUUAACCGUAUAAUUGUUUCCACUGUUGCUGCAUACAUAGCCGUGACAAAUGAUGAUGAUGACCCCGACCUGUUGGAACAUGAAGACUUUCCGUGACAAAUGAUGAUGAUGACCCCGACCUGUUGGAACAUGAAGACUUUGUGUGAUUAAUGAUGAUGUGACAGAAAAUGUACAACAAGAUGUUACAUACUGAUAUCUCACUUCAAAGUUAUACUGACAACAGGAGGGAAUGUCAAUAGAAAAUUGUACUUGGUAGUCAGUAUAAGCCUUUAAUGAUAUAAGUUUGCAUAUGAUAGAAUACUGUAUGUUGACCUUUUGAUGACUUAGACUGUUGUCCACUACAAGACUGUUUUAUGAAUUCUUUCUCACAGCGAUAAUAGCUGUUAUUAUUUCACUCCUGCCAGGAAGAGGAGAGCUGGACACUCUUAUCUGACACUCCCUAACAAGAAGAGAGGCCGCGUCUUUCUGUAUCCCACAACACACAUGCAUACACCUAAACCGCUCUUAUCUUCACUCCCUACACACUAACUUUCCUCUACCUAUGAAUAGACGUAUUCACUGUUGUAUUAUUUUUGCAUAUAAAUAAAGACAAGUGCAAGAACAGAGCGCUGAU